RNAcentral lists this ribosomal RNA (292 nucleotides) under uncultured bacterium. RNAcentral's name for it is "partial 16S ribosomal RNA". It matches the Rfam family "Bacterial small subunit ribosomal RNA", at positions 505 to 796 of the family's 1533-position model. The record is from RNAcentral.
GUGCCAGCCGCCGCGGUAAUACAGGGGGUGCAAGCGUUGCUCGGAAUUACUGGGCGUAAAGCGUGCGCAGGCGGUCCGUCAAGUCGGGGGUGAAAACCCGGGGCUCAACCCCGGAAUUGCCUCCGAAACUGCCGGACUUGAAUACGAGAGAGGGUCGCGGAAUUCUUGGUGUAGAGGUGAAAUUCGUAGAUAUCAGGAAGAACACCAGUGGCGAAAGCGGCGACCUGGCUCGAUAUUGACGCUCAUGCACGAAAGCGUGGGGAGCAAACAGGAUUAGAAACCCCAGUAGUCC